GGCAGUUCUCGGGUGACGCACCCCAGAAUCAGGCUCCCUCCUCUCUGGUUCUGGGUGAGUCACCUGAGAACCACA
Myotis lucifugus (little brown bat) is the source of this 75-nucleotide non-coding RNA. The record is from Rfam. NCBI's taxonomy places the organism in Eukaryota, Metazoa, Chordata, Mammalia, Chiroptera, Vespertilionidae.